This 433-nucleotide ribosomal RNA is filed under the name uncultured bacterium. RNAcentral describes it as "partial 16S ribosomal RNA". It matches the Rfam family "Bacterial small subunit ribosomal RNA", at positions 29 to 507 of the family's 1533-position model. The record is from RNAcentral.
AACGAACGCUGGCGGCAUGCCUAACACAUGCAAGUCGAACGAGAACUUCGGGUCUUGUGGCGCACGGGUGCGUCACGCGUGGGAACCUGCCCUUAGGUUCGGAAUAACUACCCGACUGGGGUGCCAAUACCGGAUCAUGUCUUCGGCCCAAAGAUUUAUCGCAUUUGGAUGGGCCCGCGUUGGAUUAGCUUGUUGUUAGGGUAAAAGCCUACCAAGGCGACGAUCCAUAGCUGGUUUGAGAGGAUGAUCAGCCACACUGGGACUGAGACGCGGCCCAGACUCCUACGCGAGGCAGCAGUGGGGAAUAGUGGACAAUGGGCGAAAGCCUGAUCCAGCAAGGCCGGGAGAGUGAUGAAGGCCGGAGGGUAGUAAAGCGCUUUUACCCGGGAUGAUAAUGACAGUACCGGGAGAAUAAGCUCCGGCUAACUCCGUG